RNAcentral lists this ribosomal RNA (266 nucleotides) under uncultured bacterium. RNAcentral describes it as "partial 16S ribosomal RNA". It matches the Rfam family "Bacterial small subunit ribosomal RNA", at positions 524 to 788 of the family's 1533-position model. The record is from RNAcentral.
UACGUAGGGUGCAAGCGUUAAUCGGAAUUACUGGGCGUAAAGCGUGCGCAGGCGGUUGUGCAAGACAGAUGUGAAAUCCCCGGGCGUCAACCUGGGAACUGCAUUUGUGACUGCAUGGCUAGAGUGCGGCAGAGGGGGAUGGAAUUCCGCGUGUAGCAGUGAAAUGCGUAGAGAUGUGGAGGAACACCGAUGGCGAAGGCAGCCCCCUGGGUCGACACUGACGCUCAUGCACGAAAGCGUGGGGAGCAAACAGGAUUAGAAACCCC